RNAcentral lists this ribosomal RNA (626 nucleotides) under Streptomyces sp. So1Pw_1134. RNAcentral describes it as "bacterial SSU rRNA". It matches the Rfam family "Bacterial small subunit ribosomal RNA", at positions 387 to 1022 of the family's 1533-position model. The record is from RNAcentral. Lineage: Bacteria; Bacillati; Actinomycetota; Actinomycetes; Kitasatosporales; Streptomycetaceae.
UGCAGCGACGCCGCGUGAGGGAUGACGGCCUUCGGGUUGUAAACCUCUUUCAGCAGGGAAGAAGCGAAAGUGACGGUACCUGCAGAAGAAGCGCCGGCUAACUACGUGCCAGCAGCCGCGGUAAUACGUAGGGCGCAAGCGUUGUCCGGAAUUAUUGGGCGUAAAGAGCUCGUAGGCGGCUUGUCACGUCGGAUGUGAAAGCCCGAGGCUUAACCUCGGGUCUGCAUUCGAUACGGGCUAGCUAGAGUGUGGUAGGGGAGAUCGGAAUUCCUGGUGUAGCGGUGAAAUGCGCAGAUAUCAGGAGGAACACCGGUGGCGAAGGCGGAUCUCUGGGCCAUUACUGACGCUGAGGAGCGAAAGCGUGGGGAGCGAACAGGAUUAGAUACCCUGGUAGUCCACGCCGUAAACGUUGGGAACUAGGUGUUGGCGACAUUCCACGUCGUCGGUGCCGCAGCUAACGCAUUAAGUUCCCCGCCUGGGGAGUACGGCCGCAAGGCUAAAACUCAAAGGAAUUGACGGGGGCCCGCACAAGCGGCGGAGCAUGUGGCUUAAUUCGACGCAACGCGAAGAACCUUACCAAGGCUUGACAUAUACCGGAAAGCAUUAGAGAUAGUGCCCCCCUUGUG